RNAcentral lists this ribosomal RNA (500 nucleotides) under uncultured bacterium. Its description in RNAcentral is "partial 16S ribosomal RNA". It matches the Rfam family "Bacterial small subunit ribosomal RNA", at positions 30 to 523 of the family's 1533-position model. The record is from RNAcentral.
AUUGAACGCUGGCGGAAUGCUUUACACAUGCAAGUCGAACGGCAGCACGGGGGCAACUCUGGUGGCGAGUGGCGAACGGGUGAGUAAUGUAUCGGAACGUGCCCAGUCGUGGGGGAUAACGUAGUGAAAAUUACGCUAAUACCGCAUACGAACUAUGGAUGAAAGCGGGGGAUCGCAAGACCUCGCGCGAUUGGAGCGGCCGAUAUCAGAUUAGGUAGUUGGUGGGGUAAAGGCCCACCAAGCCAACGAUCUGUAGCUGGUCUGAGAGGACGACCAGCCACACUGGAACUGAGACACGGUCCAGACUCCUACGGGAGGCAGCAGUGGGGAAUUUUGGACAAUGGGCGAAAGCCUGAUCCAGCCAUUCCGCGUGCAGGAUGAAGGCCCUCGGGUUGUAAACUGCUUUUGUACAGAACGAAAAGGUUUCUACUAAUACUAGGAGCUCAUGACGGUACUGUAAGAAUAAGCACCGGCUAACUACGUGCCAGCCGCCGCCGUAA